This 679-nucleotide ribosomal RNA is filed under the name Debaryomyces hansenii. RNAcentral describes it as "partial large subunit ribosomal RNA". The stretch from base 1 to 586 matches the Rfam family "Eukaryotic large subunit ribosomal RNA", at positions 64 to 664 of the family's 3401-position model. The record is from RNAcentral. Lineage: Eukaryota; Fungi; Ascomycota; Pichiomycetes; Serinales; Debaryomycetaceae.
UUCAGGCAGGUACUAGCUAACAACGGCGAGUGAAGCGGCAAAAGCUCAAAUUUGAAAUCUGGCACCUUCGGUGUCCGAGUUGUAAUUUGAAGAAGGUAACUUUGGAGUUGGCUCUUGUCUAUGUUCCUUGGAACAGGACGUCACAGAGGGUGAGAAUCCCGUGCGAUGAGAUGCCCAAUUCUAUGUAAAGUGCUUUCGAAGAGUCGAGUUGUUUGGGAAUGCAGCUCUAAGUGGGUGGUAAAUUCCAUCUAAAGCUAAAUAUUGGCGAGAGACCGAUAGCGAACAAGUACAGUGAUGGAAAGAUGAAAAGAACUUUGAAAAGAGAGUGAAAAAGUACGUGAAAUUGUUGAAAGGGAAGGGCUUGAGAUCAGACUUGGUAUUUUGCGAUCCUUUCCUUCUUGGUUGGGUUCCUCGCAGCUUACUGGGCCAGCAUCGGUUUGGAUGGUAGGAUAAUGACUAAGGAAUGUGGCUCUACUUCGGUGGAGUGUUAUAGCCUUGGUUGAUACUGCCUGUCUAGACCGAGGACUGCGUCUUUUGACUAGGAUGUUGGCAUAAUGAUCUUAAGCCACCCGUCUUAAAAAAACGGAACAAAAAAAAAAAACUAAAAAAAAAAAAAAGGGGGAGGGGGGGUUUUUUUUUUUUGGGUUAAUCCCAUCGUUGAGAAGAGGGUAAGAACACU